GUCCACGCCGUAAACGAUGAUAACUAGCUGUCCGGGCACUUGGUGCUUGGGUGGCGCAGCUAACGCAUUAAGUUAUCCGCCUGGGGAGUACGGCCGCAAGGUUAAAACUCAAAGAAAUUGACGGGGGCCUGCACAAGCGGUGGAGCAUGUGGUUUAAUUCGAAGCAACGCGCAGAACCUUACCAACGUUUGACAUCCCCAGUAUGGUUUCCAGAGAUGGGAUCCUUCAGUUCGGCUGGCUGGGUGACAGGUGCUGCAUGGCUGUCGU
This 267-nucleotide ribosomal RNA is filed under the name uncultured bacterium. RNAcentral's name for it is "partial 16S ribosomal RNA". It matches the Rfam family "Bacterial small subunit ribosomal RNA", at positions 793 to 1055 of the family's 1533-position model. The record is from RNAcentral.